UCUGGUUUACUCCUGGUCGUGGUGAAUGGAUCUGUUAAUCUAUUGGUCGCUGGUUCGAAUCCAGCAUCCGGAG
RNAcentral lists this transfer RNA (73 nucleotides) under Chlamydiia bacterium. RNAcentral's name for it is "tRNA-OTHER". It matches the Rfam family "tRNA". Rfam says of the family: Transfer RNA (tRNA) molecules are approximately 80 nucleotides in length. Their secondary structure includes four short double-helical elements and three loops (D, anti-codon, and T loops). Further hydrogen bonds mediate the characteristic L-shaped molecular structure. tRNAs have two regions of fundamental functional importance: the anti-codon, which is responsible for specific mRNA codon recognition, and the 3' end, to which the tRNAs corresponding amino acid is attached (by aminoacyl-tRNA synthetases). tRNAs cope with the degeneracy of the genetic code in two manners: having more than one tRNA (with a specific anti-codon) for a particular amino acid; and 'wobble' base-pairing, i.e. permitting non-standard base-pairing at the 3rd anti-codon position. The record is from RNAcentral. Lineage: Bacteria; Pseudomonadati; Chlamydiota; Chlamydiia.